RNAcentral lists this ribosomal RNA (218 nucleotides) under Micropygomyia atroclavata. RNAcentral describes it as "partial 16S ribosomal RNA". Lineage: Eukaryota; Metazoa; Arthropoda; Insecta; Diptera; Psychodidae. The record is from RNAcentral.
GAUCUUUAUAUAUUAUAAAUUUUAAUAAAAGAAAGAUAAAUAUUUUUAUAAAAAUUUAUUUAUAUUAUAUUGGGGUAAUAAUAAAAUUUUAUAAAUUUUUAUUUUUUAAAAACAAUUUAAUUGAAUUAUUGAUCCAUUAUUAUUGAUUAAAAAAUUAAGUUACCUUAGGGAUAACAGCAUAAUGAUUUUUAAGAGUUCUUAUCAAUAAAAUAGUUUAU